Ochotona curzoniae (black-lipped pika) is the source of this 92-nucleotide small nucleolar RNA. RefSeq annotates it as small nucleolar RNA SNORD116. The transcript has a single exon. Lineage: Eukaryota; Metazoa; Chordata; Mammalia; Lagomorpha; Ochotonidae. The record is from RefSeq and is a predicted model, not a curated record.
AGAUCGAUGAUGACUGCCUCAUAUACAUUUCUUGGGAAAGUUGAACAAAACAUAUGAAAACUCAUAACUCAUUUUCAUUGUGACUGAGGUAA